CGGCGGACGGGUGAGUAACACGUGGGUAACCUACCUAUAAGACUGGGACAACUUCGGGAAACCGGAGCUAAUACCGGAUAAGAUAUCGAACCGCAUGGUUCGAUAGUGAAAGAUGGUUUUGCUAUCACUUAUAGAUGGACCCGCGCCGUAUUAGCUAGUUGGUGAGGUAACGGCUCACCAAAGGCAACGAUACGUAGCCGACCUGAGAGGGUGAUCGGCCACACUGGAACUGAGACACGGUCCAGACUCCUACGGGAGGCAGCAGUA
Molecule: ribosomal RNA, 267 nt
Filed under: uncultured Staphylococcus sp.
Lineage: Bacteria; Bacillati; Bacillota; Bacilli; Caryophanales; Staphylococcaceae
Description: partial 16S ribosomal RNA
Rfam family: Bacterial small subunit ribosomal RNA
Source: RNAcentral